ACCUUCGGGCCUCAUGCCAUCAGAUGUGCCCAGAUGGGAUUAGCUAGUAGGUGGGGUAACGGCUCACCUAGGCGACGAUCCCUAGCUGGUCUGAGAGGAUGACCAGCCACACUGGAACUGAGACACGGUCCAGACUCCUACGGGAGGCAGCAGUGGGGAAUAUUGCACAAUGGGCGCAAGCCUGAUGCAGCCAUGCCGCGUGUGUGAAGAAGGCCUUCGGGUUGUAAAGCACUUUCAGCGGGGAGGAAGGCGAUAAGGUUAAUAACCUUGUCGAUUGACGUUACCCGCAGAAGAAGCACCGGCUAACUCCGUGCCAGCAGCCGCGGUAAUACGGAGGGUGCAAGCGUUAAUCGGAAUUACUGGGCGUAAAGCGCACGCAGGCGGUCUGUCAAGUCGGAUGUGAAAUCCCCGGGCUCAACCUGGGAACUGCAUUCGAAACUGGCAGGCUAGAGUCUUGUAGAGGGGGGUAGAAUUCCAGGUGUAGCGGUGAAAUGCGUAGAGAUCUGGAGG
This 510-nucleotide ribosomal RNA is filed under the name Klebsiella pneumoniae. Its description in RNAcentral is "bacterial SSU rRNA". It matches the Rfam family "Bacterial small subunit ribosomal RNA", at positions 199 to 704 of the family's 1533-position model. Lineage: Bacteria; Pseudomonadati; Pseudomonadota; Gammaproteobacteria; Enterobacterales; Enterobacteriaceae. The record is from RNAcentral.